GUACACAAAAAUGCACAUAUUGUGAGCUCGAUGAGUAGGGCGGGACACGUGGUAUCCUGUCUGAAUAUGGGGGGACCAUCCUCCAAGGCUAAAUACUCCUGACUGACCGAUAGUGAACCAGUACCGUGAGGGAAAGGCGAAAAGAACCCCGGCGAGGGGAGUGAAAAAGAACCUGAAACCGUGUACGUACAAGCAGUGGGAGCCUCUUUAUGGGGUGACUGCGUACCUUUUGUAUAAUGGGUCAGCGACUUAUAUUCUGUAGCAAGGUUAACCGAAUAGGGGAGCCGAAGGGAAACCGAGUCUUAACUGGGCGUUAAGUUGCAGGGUAUAGACCCGAAACCCGGUGAUCUAGCCAUGGGCAGGUUGAAGGUUGGGUAACACUAACUGGAGGACCGAACCGACUAAUGUUGAAAAAUUAGCGGAUGACUUGUGGCUGGGGGUGAAAGGCCAAUCAAACCGGGAGAUAGCUGGUUCUCCCCGAAAGCUAUUUAGGUAGCGCCUCGUGAAUUCAUCUCCGGGGGUAGAGCACUGUUUCGGCAAGGGGGUCAUCCCGACUUACCAACCCGAUGCAAACUGCGAAUACCGGAGAAUGUUAUCACGGGAGACACACGGCGGGUGCUAACGUCCGUCGUGAAGAGGGAAACAACCCAGACCGCCAGCUAAGGUCCCAAAGUCAUGGUUAAGUGGGAAACGAUGUGGGAAGGCCCAGACAGCCAGGAUGUUGGCUUAGAAGCAGCCAUCAUUUAAAGAAAGCGUAAUAGCUCACUGGUCGAGUCGGCCUGCGCGGAAGAUGUAACGGGGCUAAACCAUGCACCGAAGCUGCGGCAGCGACACUAUGUGUUGUUGGGUAGGGGAGCGUUCUGUAAGCCUGUGAAGGUGGCCUGUGAGGGUUGCUGGAGGUAUCAGAAGUGCGAAUGCUGACAUAAGUAACGAUAAAGCGGGUGAAAAGCCCGCUCGCCGGAAGACCAAGGGUUCCUGUCCAACGUUAAUCGGGGCAGGGUGAGUCGACCCCUAAGGCGAGGCCGAAAGGCGUAGUCGAUGGGAAACAGGUUAAUAUUCCUGUACUUGGUGUUACUGCGAAGGGGGGACGGAGAAGGCUAUGUUGGCCGGGCGACGGUUGUCCCGGUUUAAGCGUGUAGGCUGGUUUUCCAGGCAAAUCCGGAAAACCAAGGCUGAGGCGUGAUGACGAGGCACUACGGUGCUGAAGCGACAAAUGCCCUGCUUCCAGGAAAAGCCUCUAAGCAUCAGGUAACAUCAAAUCGUACCCCAAACCGACACAGGUGGUCAGGUAGAGAAUACCAAGGCGCUUGAGAGAACUCGGGUGAAGGAACUAGGCAAAAUGGUGCCGUAACUUCGGGAGAAGGCACGCUGAUAUGUAGGUGAAGCGACUUGCUCGUGGAGCUGAAAUCAGUCGAAGAUACCAGCUGGCUGCAACUGUUUAUUAAAAACACAGCACUGUGCAAACACGAAAGUGGACGUAUACGGUGUGACGCCUGCCCGGUGCCGGAAGGUUAAUUGAUGGGGUUAGCGGUAACGCGAAGCUCUUGAUCGAAGCCCCGGUAAACGGCGGCCGUAACUAUAACGGUCCUAAGGUAGCGAAAUUCCUUGUCGGGUAAGUUCCGACCUGCACGAAUGGCGUAAUGAUGGCCAGGCUGUCUCCACCCGAGACUCAGUGAAAUUGAACUCGCUGUGAAGAUGCAGUGUACCCGCGGCAAGACGGAAAGACCCCGUGAACCUUUACUAUAGCUUGACACUGAACAUUGAGCCUUGAUGUGUAGGAUAGGUGGGAGGCUUUGAAGUGUGGACGCCAGUCUGCAUGGAGCCGACCUUGAAAUACCACCCUUUAAUGUUUGAUGUUCUAACGUUGGCCCGUAAUCCGGGUUGCGGACAGUGUCUGGUGGGUAGUUUGACUGGGGCGGUCUCCUCCUAAAGAGUAACGGAGGAGCACGAAGGUUGGCUAAUCCUGGUCGGACAUCAGGAGGUUAGUGCAAUGGCAUAAGCCAGCUUGACUGCGAGCGUGACGGCGCGAGCAGGUGCGAAAGCAGGUCAUAGUGAUCCGGUGGUUCUGAAUGGAAGGGCCAUCGCUCAACGGAUAAAAGGUACUCCGGGGAUAACAGGCUGAUACCGCCCAAGAGUUCAUAUCGACGGCGGUGUUUGGCACCUCGAUGUCGGCUCAUCACAUCCUGGGGCUGAAGUAGGUCCCAAGGGUAUGGCUGUUCGCCAUUUAAAGUGGUACGCGAGCUGGGUUUAGAACGUCGUGAGACAGUUCGGUCCCUAUCUGCCGUGGGCGCUGGAGAACUGAGGGGGGCUGCUCCUAGUACGAGAGGACCGGAGUGGACGCAUCACUGGUGUUCGGGUUGUCAUGCCAAUGGCACUGCCCGGUAGCUAAAUGCGGAAGAGAUAAGUGCUGAAAGCAUCUAAGCACGAAACUUGCCCCGAGAU
Molecule: ribosomal RNA, 2442 nt
Filed under: Escherichia coli
Lineage: Bacteria; Pseudomonadati; Pseudomonadota; Gammaproteobacteria; Enterobacterales; Enterobacteriaceae
Description: partial 23S ribosomal RNA
Rfam family: Bacterial large subunit ribosomal RNA
Source: RNAcentral